UACGUAGGGGGCAAGCGUUGUCCGGAUUUAUUGGGCAUAAAGAGCGUGUAGGCGGCUUUACAGGUCCGUUGUGAAAACUCGAGGCUCAACCUCGAGACGCCGGUGGAAACCGUAAAGCUAGAGUCCGGAAGAGGAGAGUGGAAUUCCUGGUGUAGCGGUGAAAUGCGCAGAUAUCAGGAAGAACACCCGUGGCGAAGGCGCCGCUCUGGGCCGUGACUGACGCUGAGGAGCGAAAGCGUGGGUAGCAAACAGG
Molecule: ribosomal RNA, 253 nt
Filed under: uncultured bacterium
Lineage: Bacteria
Description: partial 16S ribosomal RNA
Rfam family: Bacterial small subunit ribosomal RNA
Source: RNAcentral